GUGAGGAAUAUUGCGCAAUGGAGGCAACUCUGACGCAGCCAUGUCGCGUGCAGGAAGAAGGCGCUACGCGUUGUAAACUGCUUUUAACCGGGAAGAAACCCCAGGACGUGUCCUGGGUUGACGGUACCGGAGGAAUAAGCACCGGCUAACUUCGUGCCAGCAGCCGCGGUAAUACGAAGGGUGCAAGCGUUAUCCGGAUUCAUUGGGUUUAAAGGGUGCGUAGGCGGAGCGUUAAGUCAGUGGUGAAAUCCUGCAGCUUAACUGUAGACUUGCCAUUGAUACUGGCGCUCUUGAGUGCGCUUGAAGUGGGCGGAAUGUGCCGUGUAGUGGUGAAAUGCUUAGAUAUGGCACAGAACACCAAUUGCGAAGGCAGCUCACUAAGGCGAUACUGACGCUGAGGCACGAAAGCGUGGGGAUCGAACAGGAUUAGAAACCCCUGUAGUCC
RNAcentral lists this ribosomal RNA (445 nucleotides) under uncultured bacterium. RNAcentral's name for it is "partial 16S ribosomal RNA". It matches the Rfam family "Bacterial small subunit ribosomal RNA", at positions 354 to 796 of the family's 1533-position model. The record is from RNAcentral.